This 71-nucleotide transfer RNA is filed under the name Ictidomys tridecemlineatus (thirteen-lined ground squirrel). RNAcentral describes it as "Spermophilus tridecemlineatus (thirteen-lined ground squirrel) tRNA". It matches the Rfam family "tRNA". From Rfam's summary of the family: Transfer RNA (tRNA) molecules are approximately 80 nucleotides in length. Their secondary structure includes four short double-helical elements and three loops (D, anti-codon, and T loops). Further hydrogen bonds mediate the characteristic L-shaped molecular structure. tRNAs have two regions of fundamental functional importance: the anti-codon, which is responsible for specific mRNA codon recognition, and the 3' end, to which the tRNAs corresponding amino acid is attached (by aminoacyl-tRNA synthetases). tRNAs cope with the degeneracy of the genetic code in two manners: having more than one tRNA (with a specific anti-codon) for a particular amino acid; and 'wobble' base-pairing, i.e. permitting non-standard base-pairing at the 3rd anti-codon position. The record is from Rfam by way of RNAcentral. Lineage: Eukaryota; Metazoa; Chordata; Mammalia; Rodentia; Sciuridae.
GGGGCUGGGGCUCAGUGGUAGAGCACUAGCCUAGCACGUACGAGGCUCUGGGUUCGAUCCUCAGCACCCCA